RNAcentral lists this transfer RNA (76 nucleotides) under Bacteroidetes bacterium MED-G21. Its description in RNAcentral is "tRNA-Thr". It matches the Rfam family "tRNA". From Rfam's summary of the family: Transfer RNA (tRNA) molecules are approximately 80 nucleotides in length. Their secondary structure includes four short double-helical elements and three loops (D, anti-codon, and T loops). Further hydrogen bonds mediate the characteristic L-shaped molecular structure. tRNAs have two regions of fundamental functional importance: the anti-codon, which is responsible for specific mRNA codon recognition, and the 3' end, to which the tRNAs corresponding amino acid is attached (by aminoacyl-tRNA synthetases). tRNAs cope with the degeneracy of the genetic code in two manners: having more than one tRNA (with a specific anti-codon) for a particular amino acid; and 'wobble' base-pairing, i.e. permitting non-standard base-pairing at the 3rd anti-codon position. The record is from RNAcentral. Lineage: Bacteria; Pseudomonadati; Bacteroidota.
GCUGACGUAGCUCAGUUGGUAGAGCACAUCCUUGGUAGGGAUGAGGUCGUCGGUUCAAAUCCGAUCGUCAGCUCAA